This 209-nucleotide long non-coding RNA is filed under the name Physcomitrium patens. Its description in RNAcentral is "long non-coding RNA (PPAT_LNC014461)". Lineage: Eukaryota; Viridiplantae; Streptophyta; Bryopsida; Funariales; Funariaceae. The record is from RNAcentral.
CCUUCCCCUUUUACCCUGAGAAGAUUCUAUUCUUUUGCCUUCGACUCUUCAAAUUGGAACAAUCGACCACACUUUUUUUUCCUCCCAUUUUUGCCUUUAAGAGAUCUUUUUACAGAAAGGACGUUCCCGGUGUCGUAUAACGUGCUUUCCUGCUCGAGAACGCGCUGGGCGUCUAGUUGUAGAAGGUAGUAUAGAGAUUUGGUAAUAUU